AAUCAACGCUGGCGGCGUGCCUAACACAUGCAAGUCGAGCGCGAAAGGGGAGCAAUCCCCUAGUAGAGCGGCGAACGGGUGAGUAACGCGUGGGUGAUCUACCUCCGAGUGGGGAAUAACCCCGGGAAACUGGGGCUAAUACCGCAUGACAUCCCUGAGUCACAUCGGGGAUCAAAGCCGGGGACCGCAAGGCCUGGCGUUUGGAGAUGAGCCCGCGUCCGAUUAGCUAGUUGGCGGGGUAACGGCCCACCAAGGCUUCGAUCGGUAGCCGGCCUGAGAGGGCGGACGGCCACACUGGGACUGAGACACGGCCCAGACUCCUACGGGAGGCAGCAGUGGGGAAUUUUUCGCAAGUGGGGAAACCCUGACGAAGCAACGCCGCGUGGAGGAUGAAGG
This 396-nucleotide ribosomal RNA is filed under the name uncultured bacterium. RNAcentral describes it as "bacterial SSU rRNA". It matches the Rfam family "Bacterial small subunit ribosomal RNA", at positions 29 to 414 of the family's 1533-position model. The record is from RNAcentral.